This 447-nucleotide ribosomal RNA is filed under the name uncultured bacterium. Its description in RNAcentral is "partial 16S ribosomal RNA". It matches the Rfam family "Bacterial small subunit ribosomal RNA", at positions 29 to 507 of the family's 1533-position model. The record is from RNAcentral.
AACGAACGCUGGCGGCAUGCCUAACACAUGCAAGUCGAACGAUGCCUUCGGGCUUAGUGGCGCACGGGUGCGUAACGCGUGGGAAUCUGCCCUUGGCUUCGGAAUAACAGAUAGAAAUGACUGCUAAUACCGGAUGAUGUCCCCCUGAGAGAUCUUGGGGACCACAGGUUUAUCGGCCAGGGAUGGGCCCGCGUAGGAUUAGGUAGUUGGUGGGGUAAAGGCCUACCAAGCCGACGAUCCUUAGCUGGUCUGAGAGGAUGAUAAGCCACACUGGGACUGAGACACGGCCCAGACUCGUACGGGAGGCAGCAGUGGAGAAUAUUGGACAAGGGAGGGAACCCUGAUCCAGCAAUGCCGCGUGAGUGAUGAAGCCCUUAGGGUUGUAAAGCUCUUUUACCAGGGAUGAUAAUGACAGUACCUGGAGAAUAAGCUCCGGCUAACUCCGUG